AGAUUUGACAGUGUAGACUACAUCACUUCCAGAUUUCGAGAAUAACGUAUUUUCAGAUUCUUUGAAGCCAUGGAAAGAUUCCAAGGGUACAACCAGAUAUGAAAUGCAUAGUAUUCGUUAAUCGGAUCGUGACUGCAAGGUCCCUUUCGUAUAUUCUUCAGCAUCUGAAAAUUUUAUCUUCUUGGAAGUGCGGGUUUCUUGUAGGUGUCCACUCGGGAUUGAAGAGUAUGUCACGAAAAAAUACAAAUAUCAUUCUCGAUAAGUUUCGUUCUGGUGAGCUCAAUUUAUUGAUUGCAACCAAAGUUGGCGAGGAAGGACUUGAUAUCCA
RNAcentral lists this unclassified non-coding RNA (328 nucleotides) under Hevea brasiliensis (rubber tree). The record is from RNAcentral. Lineage: Eukaryota; Viridiplantae; Streptophyta; Magnoliopsida; Malpighiales; Euphorbiaceae.